RNAcentral lists this ribosomal RNA (289 nucleotides) under uncultured bacterium. Its description in RNAcentral is "partial 16S ribosomal RNA". It matches the Rfam family "Bacterial small subunit ribosomal RNA", at positions 30 to 319 of the family's 1533-position model. The record is from RNAcentral.
AUUGAACGCUGGCGGAAUGCCUUACACAUGCAAGUCGAACGGCAGCACGGGAGCAAUCCUGGUGGCGAGUGGCGAACGGGUGAGUAAUACAUCGGAACGUGCCCAAUCGUGGGGGAUAACGUAGCGAAGCUACGCUAAUACCGCAUACGAUCUACGGAUGAAAGCAGGGGAGUCGCAAGACCUUGCGCGAAUGGAGCGGCCGAUGGCAGAUUAGGUAGNGGUGGGGUAAAGGGCUCACCAAGCCUUCGAUCUGUAGCUGGUCUGAGAGGACGACCAGCCACACUGGGAC